Molecule: long non-coding RNA, 4552 nt
Organism: Mesocricetus auratus (golden hamster)
Lineage: Eukaryota; Metazoa; Chordata; Mammalia; Rodentia; Cricetidae
Exons: 3
Source: RefSeq, a predicted model, not a curated record
ACACCCUUAAAUGGAGCAGAAUUUCUAAAUACCCAUGAGUCACACAGCUAAAAUGUCCCCUGGGGAGCCCAACUUGGCAGCCUACAUUUUCCUAUUAAAAAAUCAAGUUGAGAGAUUUUUCAUGGCAUCCAGCUCAGUGCCAGGAUGAGCCCAUCUGUGUGUGGUGGAGGAGCUGGCCGUCGGGAGAGCCGGGAGGCCACGCCUUUCACCUGGUGGAAACACACAUAACAGAAGCCACUCGGCGGAAUGACGGACUGUCGUGCCCCUGGAGUGGAGAGAACAUUGGCUAAGGAGUGUGUGCACCAGGUGUGUGCCCUGACCACGGGAAGUCGGAAGAGGACGUCCUACCCAAACCAAAACCCCAAAACCUGGAACCUGAGUUACAGACGGUUGUGAGCCAUCGUGUGAGUGCUCCUAGCUGAGCCCCAAGCCCUCAGCAAGAGGGCUGAGUCCUCUCUCCACACACACCGCUUUUCAAAGGAGAAAACAAGACAACGAAACACACGGAGAAUUCCUACGCCUGCCAUUUCAAGUUAGCGAAGGCUUACUUCAAACUUGUUAAAGAAGAACCAAAACAUCACAGAGCCAAGACGCCCCUGUGUUCUGAUGGAAGCUUCACCGAGGCUCCUGGCGCCCAUGUACCCAACGAGUCUGGAAUGCUCUGGUGGGAGUUCCACCUCAGUACCCCUUCCCCAUCCCGCCUCAAACCCUGCCCCAUCUCAGAAAGCCCACCAAACAGGGCUGCUCCCCCAGGGAUGCUCAAGGCCACUCCCACAGGGUAUUUAAAUUGCCCCCACCCUAGAAAUCAGACACUUUUCUGUCUCCUCUCUGGGGUGCUGGGAAAUCAUCCAGGAGUGUUUUUAUCCAUCAAACCUGGGCUUUUUCUAGUUCACUUUGAUUUGGUCUGAUAUGGGUUGCCGCGUCAGCGGAGAGGCUUACGGGGGUGCAGAAACUUUUCGCUGUGUCUCUGCACCCACCCCAUUCCUCCCCAUCUUUAGAGUAAGUACAAUGGACUCUAUGUGUCCUGGGUUAUGUAUUUUCAUAACACAUAUAUGUUGGUAAUGUGUAACCCUGCUUUUUUUUUUUUGUCUAAUUGUGUGAAGAAUAGUGCCACCCUGUACACAUUAUUCUGUCACUUGCUGCUCUCAUUCAGCAUUGGCUGGUUAAGGUCUGGCUGUGUUGACACAUGCAGAGUGGAUCCGUGCAUUCCAGUGACGACACAGCAUCCCGUCAUAUGGACCACCCUGGUCUGUUAGUUCUAUCACGGGGAUUUGGUGGAUCUAUCUAUCUAUCUAUCUAUCUAUCUAUCUAUCUAUCUAUCUAUCUAUCUAUCUAUCCAUCCAUUCAUUUAUUAUUGUUUUCUACAAGCAAUACCUAUAAGACUCAUUUGAGAAUUUCUCUAGAAUAUCCCAGAAAUGGAGAGUUCAGUCACUGAGUAUGUAAUUUACAGUUUUAUUAGAUUCUUCCAAAAGUUGUUCUUCAGAAUGCCUUUACCUCGUGGUCAAAUUCCUGUUUCCCUACAUCAUUUUCUAUUUUUACCAAGUUAAAAAAUGUGCAAACCAAUUCACUUGUUUAACCCUGGCUUGUUGGUAAGGCCCAGGCUCUCUUGGUGUGAUUCUUGGACAUUUAAUAUUCUUGUGUGAAUCACUGGCUUUAUAGGUUUUUUCCUAUUAGGCUCUUUAUCCUUUUAAAAAGUUGACUUAGGGAACUUUAAAUAUCUUGAACAUAAAUUUUUAUGAUAUACUGGUUACUUUAUUUUCUGGUUUUAUAUUUUAACAUUUUGUUUAUGAUUUCUGAUUUUAAUGCCCUCUGAUAAAUCCUUUCUUAUCUCCAUGUCAUUAAAAACACUGCUGCACAUUUAGGUCCUUAAGCCAGCUGAGUUUAUUUUUAGUGUGAAGUAGAGACUCCUAAGCUUUUCCACGUAGGAAAUGGGCAUUCUUACUUGAUGGUUCACAAGUUCCCCUGUAAUUGAUAAUGCCUCCUCUAUCAAAAACUAAGCUCCGAUUUCUAGGGGCUGUAUUUACGGAUUCCUGUACCAUUUUAUUGAUUUGUGUUUCUGUCCUCAUCAUACAUCCCCUCUCCUGAUAAGGUAAGAUAAGACCCAUAGCCUUCCUGUCUUGACCACACCCACCUGCUCCCUCAGUUUUAUGCACACAUCACCAGAAGAAGCUUUCCAAGAGUCCUCGUUGUUUGCUGGCUGUCUGCCGUGUGCCGGGCGGCAUGCUAACUGCAUGUGUGUUAUCCAUCCUAAUAAGAUAAUCCCUGUUUUUCCAAUCAGGCCCCUGAGGCUCUGGAGUUGAGUGAUUUGCCUGUGUUCCACAGCCAGGAGAAGAUGAGGCAGGGGCUUGAGCCCAGUUCUGUCCAUCCUCAAGGGCUGGUAGUGUUCCAUUUUCAUUUCUAGCCUUCAAGAUCUCCACACCCUGGUAAAAUGGGUAUCAAUCUUUCCCUCCGGUGCUGUCACAGGGACCAUGUGAGAUGAUACAUAUGAAAGCACUUGACGCACGCCUAACCUGUAACAGGUGCCCCAUAAACAUCAGCUGACAUGAAGCAGCAGCAGGAGGUGCUGGCUAAAAAAGAGGCACGGAUCAUCAAAUUUUACCGAGUUUGCUUACACUACUGUCUUUUCGAUUGAGAGAGGGUGAGAGAGAUCUUUAGUCAGCCUCCUCUUCGCCCUGCAUCCCAGGAACAAGGAAGACUGUAAGAGGACACGCCUAAGGUCCAGGAUCCUUUGCAGCCUCCUGUAUUUCAUGCCAAACCUGGAAGGCUGGGAGCCAAGCUCUGCGCUUGCCUAGAAACACCUGGAGAAGAAAUGGCCACUGCAAUGCAGAUCUCACCUCUCCAGGCACCCAGAGCUAGAGGGGUAUCAUCAUCCUCCCUACCCUUUAGUGACUGCCACGGCACCUAGGCAACUGGGAGACCUCACUCUGAAGAGGAAGGUGAAACAUCACAGCCUUUCCAGGCAGCUCACUGAUGAAGGAGGCUCAUGGGCUUGCAGAACGCAGCACCGGCAUGUAGGCCGCCUUCUAUGCUGGACGACUGUGACAGCUCACAAUUUUCUUGCUAACUCAAGUUAUAGGAAAAGCAAAUGCGAAUGCACACACGUGCAUGACUACACAUGUAUACACAUACACACACACACACACACACACACACGUCACCCUUGCUUACUGUUUCAGAAGCCACCGGCGAUGAUCAGUGUUACUGGCUUUCUCCGACUCCUCCAUGCACAUCUGCUCUGUGUCAUUGACAGCUCCACCAGGGCCCCCCAGGGCACUCUGCAGGGGUCAGAAAAACAUCAGUUGGAAGGACAGUACACCCUCUCCCUUGUUUGACUUGGAAAUUCUUUCUGAGUCAUGUAAGAAGCAAUAUGCUGAGUCCUAGAGGCAGUGAAAAUGACAUCAGGUUAGGAGAGAGAACCCCAAAAGCCAAAAGGGCAAAGCCUCCGCUGGAGUCUGACUGGAAGCAUUUAAGACAGCCGCUGUCAUGGUAAUAUUCUUUUGAAGGUACCUGAUUUUUUUUUUACACUGUACAGUUUCCCCAAACCAAGUGGGGACCCUGAACCUCGUAAACUUCCCAUAUGGUUGAGAGGAAAAGAAUAAUAUUCAACUUCUGUUUGAGAUUAAAGAGGGUUUAAAGAGAAUGUGCUCUUUGGAGGGGUCCAAAAGGUCCCCCAUCCCCUGACAUACUAACAUGAUACCAGUUUCCUCUUUCCACACCAAACACACAAGCCCUGGACACACCCAGGACUAGACCAAUUCUAGAGAGUGACACUGACAACUGUGCCCUUCUCCUUUAUCGCGGAGACCUUCCAGGAUGCGGUAAGUCACAGCACAUGAUUGGAGGAGUAACUAACUCAUGAUGAGCACGGAUAAUUGUGACCUGCCUGGUGUCUAGUGGUGCUGUAAGACUUCUAGCCCUCAUCCUGACCUUUGCUUGGUGAGUGUGUUGGUUACUUUCCUUAUUGCUGUGGCAAAAUGUCUGACACAAAUCACUCAAGCAAGGAAGAAUUUAUUUGGGAUCCCAUUUUGAGGCUGUACUCCAUCGUGGAGGGGAGGCAUGGUGGUCAGAGCUUCUUUAGCUGUGGGGCAGGAGCAUGGGGUAGCUGGUCACAGUGUAUCCAUAGUCAGAAAGCAGAGAGAGAUGAAGGCUGGCUCUCAGCUGUGGGCAGGAGCAUGCAGGAGCUGGUCACAUUGUAUCCAGUCAGAAAGCAGGGAGGGAUGGAUGUUGCUGUGUAACUGUCCUUCCUCUUUUUGUUCAGUCAGGUCCCCAGUCCAGGGAACCUUGGCGUCCACAUUCAGGAUGGUUCUUUCCCUCCACGGUUAAAUCUCCUUGGAAGCACGGUCACAGAUGUACUCAGAGGUCCGGAUAUGUCUGCUACAUCUUGUGCCACUGGGAAGUCUGAGAUCCCCGGGAGAGACAUUCCAGGAGCUCUGACUGUUUCUGUUGGAAUUUCCGUUUACUCCUUAUCCCUUCCUCUCCAUCCCUUCCCUACACUCUGUUUUUCCCCCCUUUGGUUUUUCGAGACAGUGUUUCUCUGUGGCUUUGGAGGCUG